UACGAAGGGUGCAAGCGUUACUCGGAAUUACUGGGCGUAAAGCGUGCGUAGGUGGUUUGUUAAGUCUGUUGUGAAAGCCCCGGGCUCAACCUGGGAAUGGCAAUGGAUACUGGCAGGCUAGAGUGCGGUAGAGGGUAGUGGAAUUCCCGGUGUAGCGGUGAAAUGCGUAGAGAUCGGGAGGAACACCAGUGGCGAAGGCGGCUACCUGGACCAGCACUGACACUGAGGCACGAAGCGUGGGAGCAAACAGG
Molecule: ribosomal RNA, 251 nt
Filed under: uncultured bacterium
Lineage: Bacteria
Description: partial 16S ribosomal RNA
Rfam family: Bacterial small subunit ribosomal RNA
Source: RNAcentral